CCAGGACCUUAAAAAGAGCCCAAGUUGUUGAGCUCCCUGCCAAGUCACCCCCAGGUAUCUCUGCCCACCAGCUUGCAUGAGCCAGAUCCUCAGUGCAGGUUUUUCCAAUCAGUCAUUUGUUCUUCCACCCAACGCUCAAGAUUUGCUUCUUCAAGACAACUCUCUGAUCAGCUGAGACCCAUAGACACCCAGCUUCUACCACACAUAUGAUGGCAUUAUCCUAGGGCAUGGCAGAGCAACGCAAGGGAAAACUCUGGGCCCCCAAGUGAUGUCAUGGAGGAGAACUCUCAACCCAGAACUACUACGUGAGAAACAACGCUCUCUCUUCUUUAAGCCAUAGGUGUGUUGGGAAUCUUUGUUACAGCAGCACGCCUGAUCUUUUGUUUUGUUUUGUUUUGUUUUAGAGAUGGAGUCUUGCUCUUUCGCCAGGCUGGAGUGCAGUGGUGCGAUCUUGGCUCACCAUGUUGGUCAGGCUGGUUUCAAAUCCCUGACCUCAAGUGAUCCUCCCACCUUGGCCUCCCAAAGUGCUGGGAUUACAGGUGUGAGCCACCGCACCCGGCCCAGCCAUGCCUUGUCUUAACUAGCAUAGCCGCCCAACGUCCACUUCUUUUGGCCAUGUUGUCCUGAUUCUGCUGGAGAAUCCCUUUCCCACUGCUCCCAGACCAGUGGUGUAGCUGACCUGCGCUCUCUCCACUCAAUUCAGGGGAGGGAGGGGUUUAGGCCUGGGCUAAGAGAGCUGCACAUUUCCCAGGGCACAGUGAUUAGUUGAGGGUGGGUCCCAGAGCCAAAUCUGCCCAAGAUCUUAGCCUGAAAGAGAAACCCUCCUGCUGAGUGACUGCACUGUGAGGCAGAAGUCCAGAGCUGUGGGUGGCCAUCCAGCCUCCAUUUGCGCCUGCCUGAGAAAGAAGCCACCAUGGGGGAAAUCGAGCUAAAAGACGGAGAGGGAGGUAAGAGAGGAUGACAUCACAUAAGCACCAGAUCUGGCCACCCCUGAAACUGGAACAACCCUAAGCUUUACAGCUACUACAUUCCCUUUUCUGCUGAAGUUGUUUUACACUGGGUUUCUGUCUCUUGCAACCAAGAGCUCUGUUAAAUAAAAACCUGACCCUAAGGAGAACGUUAGCUGGUUCACAAUUCCCUGUGCAAAACAGGCACAGGUCAGCUGCCCCAGCCUGUCGUUUGGAUAUUCCUUUCUAAGAACGCUCACUUUUGUUGUCUACAUGACCCAGAUAACCAAGGAGAAAGCAAAUCAACCGCCUUCCAGCGGCGCCUUCCUUGGCAGCAAGUGCUAAGAGAGAACACAAUGUGAGUACUCUGCCCUCUGGAGUCAGGGUUGAUCCUCAGCACUUGCUGUCCUGGGAGGCUGCACCUGUGACACUUGAGUGCCAGGUUCAACCCCUACUGCUGCUGCUGCUGCCUGAAUGGGGCCAUUUAGACUGUUGAGUGCUACAGCCUCAGCCCAGGAACCCGGAGCUUCACAUGAGGCAGAGCAGGGCCCCAGGGUCCCUGAAACUUGCCAGUUCAAACAGCAGAGGGGUGAGGACUCCCCAGUCAGCCCUGGUCUCAUACCUGCCUCUGCAUGGUCCCAGUCCAGCCUGAGGCCUUUGCUUUCUUUUUUGAAGGGAAGGUGAGGAGAGAGGGGGAAAAUAGAGGUGUUCUGACUAGACUUAGGAUUCCUGGCCUCUGCCUCUGACCGCCAGAGGACAGCCUCUGCAGUUGCCUCAUCUACUCAUGAAAACAGGCCUGUGACCCCAGGGGUGCUCUGAGGAUUCUUCCAGAAAACAUCUGCCCAGCUAGGACUACCUAGCUCACUGCCCAAAAAGGGUUCAUUUCCUUUCCUUCUGAAACAAAAGCGCUUAAUUGGAAGAGAAGCAUUGACUCAAGCUAUAGGAUAUGCCACUUAAAAUGUCCAGAUCUUGGCACAAGGCCUGGCGCACAGUGUGGGAGAGAAGGAGAGAAGAAGGUGGAAGGAAAGGAGGGAGGGGAAAGAGGAAGCAGGGAGGGAGAAAAUAAGACAAGGGCCUCCUCAUCUGGAUGCUUCCCUAGACCAAGAAGUGGCCCAGGUGGUGCCCAGGGGACAGGGAGUGGGCAAUAAAAGACAAUGGGGUGUAGGUGAUAGGGUGUAGAUGAUCAGGGUAUAGGUGAUCAGGAUGUAGGUGAUGGGGUGUAGAUGACUGGGGUAUAGAUGAUUGAAGUGUAGGUGAUGGGGUAUAGAUGAUCGAGGUGUAGGUGAUGGGGUAUAGAUGAUUGAGGUGUAGGUGAUGGGGUGUAGGUGAUGGGGGUCAAGGUGAUCAAGGUGUAGGUGAUGGGGUGUUGGUGAUUGGGGUGUAGGUGAUCAGGGUGUAAGUGAUGGGGUAUAGGUGGUGGGGUGUAGAUGAUCGGGGUGUAGGUGAUGGGUAUAGGUGAUGGGGUAUAGAUGAUCAGGUUGUAGGUGAUCGGGGUAUAGGUGAUCAGGUUGUAGGUGAUGGGGUGUAGAUGAUUGGGAUAUAGAUGAUCGAGAUGUAGGUGAUGGGGUAUAGAUGAUCAAGGUGUAGGUGAUGGGGUAUAGAUGAUUGAGGUGUAGGUGAUGGGGUAUAGGUGAUGCAGUGUAGGUGAUCAGGGUAUAGGUGAUGAGGUGUAGGUGAUGGAGUGUAGAUGAUUGAGGUGUAGGUGAUGGGGUAUAGGUGAUUGGGGUGUAGGCAAUGGGGUGUAGGUGAUUGGGGUGUAGGCAAUGGGGUGUAGGUGAUUGGGGUCAAGGAGAUAGAGGUGUAGGUGAUGGGGUGUUGGUGAUUGGGGUGUAGGUGAUCAGGGUGUAGGUGAUUGGGGUGUAGGUGAUCGGGGUGUAGGUGACCAGGGUAUAGGUGAUCAGGGUGUAGGUGAUGGGAUGUAGGUGAUCAGGGUCAAGGUGAUUGAGGUGUAGGUGAUGGGAUGUUGGCAACCAGGGUGUAGGUGAUCAGGAUGUAGGUGAUGGGGUGUAGACGAUCAGGGUGUAGGUGAUGGGCUGUUGCUGACCAGGGUGUAGGUGAUCAGGGUGUAGGUGAUCCGAACUUCCUACUCAAUUCAGGCAACAGCUCCCAGCCUGAGGCAAAUACCCCCCGAGGCAGUCAGGGUCUCACCUCCCAUGGCUCUGACGCAGGCCUCCAAGGUGAGGAGAUGGAGGUAGCAGAGGUCACUUCACUCAGCUGUCACACACCCUGAGGGAACUCCUGUCACUGUUAUCCCACCUGCAAGUGAGGAGCCAGCAUUUCUCAUGCUCCAGGGUUGGCCACAGAGCCCAUUCAAGGGAGGGAGAAGAGCCUUCGGCCAGCGCAUCCUAACCGCAGAAAGCCAAGACCUCUGCAGAAAAAGAGACCAGGCCCAUAAAAAGAGAUCCAUGAGUUGAGUUCCCUGCCAUGCCACCCCCAGGCAUCUCUGCCCACCAGCCUGCAUGAGCCAGCCCCUCAGUGCAGGUUUUUCCAAUUGGCCGUUUGUUCUUCCACCCAACACUCAAGAUUUGCUUCUCAGCCUGGACAACAUAGCAAAACCCCAUCUCUACAAAAAAUACAAAAAUUAGCUGGGCAUAGUGGCACACACCUAUAGUCCCAGCUACUCGGGAGGCUGAAGUGGGAAGAUUACCUGAGCCUGGGAGGUCAAGGUUGCAGUGAGCCAUGAUCAUGCCACUGUACUCCAGCCUGGGUGACAGAGUGAGAACUUGUCUCAAAAACAAAAAAAGAGAGGAAGAUCUGCUUCUUCAAACCCACACAACUAAUAUAAAGUAAUCAACCUCCCCACCUCAAUAACCUGAAGUUAAACAUCACACAAUAAGCCCUGAACAGAGAGCUGUAGGUCAAUGUUCCAUUUUGCUUUUAAAAGCUUCACAAGAACAUUUCAUUUAUUAAAAUAGUUUCUGUAAACUCUUUCAGAAUAACAAAAUUCACUUGCCUUGCUUAAACAGCAUUUCAAGUAGAAGUAUUUUUAUUUCAAGGCACCAUAAAAUGAUGAUCUCUCUAAGAAAUACCUCUCCUUC
This 3985-nucleotide long non-coding RNA is filed under the name Homo sapiens (human). RNAcentral describes it as "HSALNT0264936". The record is from RNAcentral. Lineage: Eukaryota; Metazoa; Chordata; Mammalia; Primates; Hominidae.